CCAGUCUAUAGAAAGCCAUGGGUCUAGUCUCAAAGGUAUUUUUCAACCAAUCUGUAAAUACUGAAUUGUCAUCCAAUCUAGCCCAUGCCAUAUGUAAAUAUUCCCAUGUAUCUUUUGCAGGAGGACAUGCCCAGAAAAUAUGCUCCCUUGUUUCAGCUCCUGUUAGACACCUUCUACACAUGGGGGAAGCCAUCAUUCUGAGAUAAUGAAGAUUACUAAAACUAGGCAUAUAGUUACAAAGUUUCUCCAUAUUGUAAUUUUGAUUUUCGAGGGUAGAUUCAUUUUCCAUAAUUUCUUGUAAAUUUGCUUGUGAUCUGAAUGUAAUUGAUCCCGACCUUCUUGUAAAAGAAGUCUGUGACCACUUCGGACCAAGAAUUCUCCUGACAACUUACCCCGCCAUACAAGAGUGUCUUCAUGCUCAAACAAAGGAAGAGGAAUACAGAGGAUCCUUUUUGCAGUCUGUUCAUCAAAGGUAAAACUGAUCAGAUCAGACUUUCAAUUUUUCGAACUUGCAUCAAUAAGAUCUGCAACUUUGAUGAGACUCUGAUUAUUAUUCAUAUUCUGAAUUUUGAGAUUAUCAUCUCCAGGUAUCCAAACAUCAUCCCAAAUGGAAGCUUUCUGACCAUUGUCAAUCCGCCAACCCAAACCUUUCAAGAGGAGGCCCCUCGCGGCCCAGAUACUCUGCCAAGUAAAAGAAGGUAGCCUUCCUAAACUGGAGUUUAAAAAAUCCCCAUCUUUAAAAUACCGAGCUUUCAAAGUACGCGCUAUUAAAAAAUUAGGAUUAUUUAACAGGCGCCAACCUUGUUUAUCCAAUAAAGCAAUAUUAAAAGAACUCAAAUGACGAAAUCUGAUACCACCUUCCUCCUUAGGCGCACAUAAGGAUUUCCAAUUACACCAGUGCAUCCCCCGCCUAUUAUGAUUAUUCCUCCAUCAAAAUGAGCUCAUAAUAUUUUCCAGUUCCACACAAAGCGAUUUCGAUAAAAGGAAACAAGCCAUCGAAUAUGUGGGAGUAGACUGUAAGACAGCCUUGAUAAAAACCUCUCUACCUCCUUGUGAAAUAUGCCUAAUACUCCAGUUAUUGAUUUUCUGCUUCAAACGAUCUUUCAACUUUUGAAAAGCCAUUUUCUUCUUACGACCCACCACAUUGGAAAGUCCAAGAUAACUUUCUGGAUCAGUCGAGCAACGAACAUUAAGCGCCUGAAACACCCUACUCUUGUCUUGAUCCUUUACAUUUGUGCUGAAAAAGACCGUAGAUUUUUCAUGAUUAACGCACUGACCCGAACAAGACUCAUACUCUCCAAGAAUUUCUUUCCGCACAUUAAUCCCCUGAUUUGAUACAUCUCCGAAUAGGAUACAGUCAUCAGCAAACAUCAGAUGAGUUAUAGGUGGGGCCAAUCUGGAAACUUUAGCUCCAUAAAUCUUUUUAUCCUGACUUGCCAACCUCAUUAGCACAGAAAGCCCUUCUCCAUAAAACAAUAAGAGAUAGGGACUUAAAAGGAUCCCCUUGACGCAAGCCCCUAGAAGGUUUGAAACUUAAACCUUCUGCCCCAUUAAUUAGAAUAGAAUACUGAACAAAAUUAACACAACAGAUAAUAAACUCAAUAAACCGUUUGUCGAAUCCCAUUUUUGACAUUAUGCUUUUAAUGAAAUUUCAUUCCACUCGAUCAUAGCCCUUGCUCAUAUCGAGUUUUAAAGCCAUGAAUCUCUUUUUCCUGUAUCUUUUGUUUUUAAAUAAAUGAAGCACCUCAUAUGCCAAAAGCACCUCAUCGGUGAUGAGUCUACCAGGAACGAAAGCACUUUGAGAGUUAUCGAUGCACGCAUGUAAAACCUUUUGAAGCCGAUUAGCAACAGUUUUUGCAAUGAUCUUAUAAAUAACAGUGCAUAGACUAAUUGGACGAAAAUUCUUAAGAUUGCUAGGACUGAUAGUCUUGGGAAUUAGCACUAUUUGUGUUUUGUUUAUAUCCCCCACAGAUUUCCUGUUAUUCAGAAUGUUUAAACAAUAUAUGCAAACGUUUAUACCAAUAAUGUGCCAGAAUUUCUGGUAGAAAAUUGCUGGUAAGCCAUCAGCUCCCGAAGCUUUUGUAGGUCCCAUGCCCUUCAACGCCUGAACUAUUUUGUUCUCCUUCUAAGUGGCCAACAAACAUUGGUUCAUUUGAUCUGAUACGCACGAAUGUACUCUGGAUAGGAUAUGUCCCAAAUCCCCAAUUCCUCUAGAGGCAAAAAGAUCCGAAAAGUACUCACGGGCGAUGCAUUCCAUCUCCCUACCAUCUGAAGCAAGAGAACCAUCCCUUCUUUGCAAAGCUUUGAGUUGAUUAGCACGUCUUCUUUGGGAAGUAAAUUUAUGAAAAAAGGAAGUAUUCUUGUCCCCCAUUUUCAACCAAUUUGCUCUUGGACGUUGCUCCCAAUACUUUUCCUCCUUAUCCAUCUCCAUAUUUAAAUGAAGUUUGACCUCGACUAUUUCUCCCAAGUUCUCCUCUGAAAUAUCCUCACAAUUUAGCUCAUCCAAUCUCCUAUUCAACCUUUUCACUUCCCUCCCUCUUUUGGUCUUAAUCCUAUUCCCCCAAUAUCUCAACCCAGUGGCCAAUGUUUCCAUUCAGAAUAAAAAAGAUCCAAAACUGCCUUCCCAUAACUUUCUUAUCUCCGCUUCACAUGACUCUUCCAAAACCCACCAGACUUCAAAACGAAAUCUAUCGGAUUGUCUACCUAUUCCAACAUCCUCCGUAUCAAUGAGCAAAGGACAAUGAUCGGAGAAAGAAUGUGGAAGAUAUCUCAAGGAAUACCGUGGGAAUUGUUGAAACCAACCAUCAUUAGCAACCCCUCUAUCGAUGCGUUCCCUAAUAUUUUUCUCAACAGUUCUACCUCUUUCCCAUGUGAACCAAGCUCCCGAAAAACCUAAAUCUUUCAAUUGACAAGCUUCCAAAGUCUUAUGGAAAGCUUUCAUACGAGCCUCUUCUCUUAACAAGCCUCCUUGUUUUUCAUGAGAAAAAAGAAUAUCGUUGAAAUCUCCCCCAACCAACCAAGGUAAAGAAUUAUCCCGCCUUAAUCUUCGAAUUAACUCCUCACUAAUUUAAAUCUAACCUCUGGAGCCUCAUAGAACCCUGUGAACCGCCAUCGAAAAUUUUCUUCUUGAAUCUCAACAUCAAUAUGAUUCUUUGAGAAGCUCUGCAAAUUGACUAAGUUAUUCCCAUUCCAUCCAAGGCUUAAUCCUCCUCUAGACCCAUUAGCCGAGACGUCAACACCAUUAACGAAACCAAAAUUUUUUCUAACAAACUCCAUUUUUGUAGCACUCAAUUUAGUCUCCGUAAAUAAGGCAAUUUGGGGACGAUAAAUCUUCAGCAUACUCUUAAGUCUUCUAACUGCUCGCGGACUCCCCAAUCCGCGAACGUUCCAGCAUAUAAUUUUCAUUGCCUUCGGUCGGCUUGCCCAAUGGCAGCCGCCGAUAUCUGUUUAGGAUGAGAAAAGUUCUUCCCAGCAACCUCCAAUGAAUCUUGAGUGUUAGAAACAUUAGAGAUCAAAGAAUUAGAUCUUUGCCUUUUUUUUCCUUCAUAAUUGAGAAAAGGUUCAUCCUCUAGCUCACAAUCCAUACAUGACACCCCUUUCUCCUGUAAACGACCCAGUCCACCUGGAGUAGUCAUUUGAAUGACACCAUAAUGUGCAAGGCCAGAAAGUUGACCUUUUUCACGAUCCAAGUCAUUAUCUCCAUUAUGAUGGGAAUUAUUUCCUUGCUGAUACUCAUUCAAUCCAGAAGGAAAUUUGGUACCUUCUAAAUUUAUUCCAAGAGGGAAAUUGAAAUUUCUUCUAGAUUCUCUCCCCUUAUUUUGGCUUGAUUGGUGACUAGAAGAUUGGCCAAAUCUAGACUUUCCAAAAAAAUUGUUGUCUCCUUCCCCUUUCAACCAAAUGCUGUUGACAAUGGAAGCCUUUCUCCCUUGAGCUCUCAAUGAUAGAUCCCAACCCAUCUCUAAUUCAUGCAUUCCAUAUUGUAAUCUCAUUGGACAGAAAUUAUCUUCAUGACCCAGACGUCCACAUAAAAAACAUAAAAGAGUUAAUCUUUCAUACUUAAACUUUGCAUAAGUAAACUUGGACUCUGAGAUCUUAAUUUUCUUUCGCCGUGGUAAAGAUUUUCGAACAUCAAGUUGAGCCCGAAUCCGCAUAUAAUUCAUAUACCCAGUGGAUAGUUGCUUCGUGUCAUAUUCCAGAAAUUUUCCAAUAAAAUUUCCAAAUUGAACUGCCAUAGAAUCUCUAAAGAAGCCCGGAGGAAGAUCAUGAACCUGAAUCCACCAGUCUGAAAACACCAAAGGGACAGCCAUAGGGUCUUCACCAUUAUUGAAAGUCCAAGGAGCGCCUGAAAUAACUCGAGAAAUAUCCACCUCAUUAAAAAGCUUAAAAAGAAAACGUUUCUCCCCGAGAUCUGAAAUUUGCACACCCUCUAAAUGAUGCCAAAUGUUAGCCAUAGUGUUUCUCAUUGCAGGAAUAUUCACCACACUAGCCGCAAGAUAACACCCUACCAAACAGAAAUCAUACAGUGCGUUUUGUUCUUCAGAGUCAACCGGUAAAGAAAACGCCUCAUCUUCACCAUCACCAUCAUUCAGAUUUAAGUCGACUAUUCCUCUAUCCAUCCAAUAAAAAGAAACUAAACCCUCCAAACUAAAAGACAAGUCGACAGAAUACCAGAAGACUCAAAGAAAGAAGAAAAGAAGACAGAAAAAAACCAGAGAUCAAGACUAAAUCAUGUCAAAAGCGACUGAUAGAGAAACGUGCCAAAGCGGCAGACUAAAUAUUUAUUUUUAAAUAUUUAGUACUUUUAUAUAUUAUUUUCAUUUAUUAGAAAUUUACAUACAAACAACUUAACAUAUUUUAAUGUAAAAAAAAUUACAUUAUAGGUUUAAUUUUUAUAUAUUAUAUAUUAUAAAUUACAUAAUAAUAUAAUAUAUUACAAAUUUAUAAAAUAUGUUAAGUGAAGUUGGGCUCGAGACUAAUUCAUAUAUAUAUAUAUUUUUGUAUAAACUCGAGUCUAAUAUUUUUAUUUAAAUUCUUUAAAAUUCGAAUAAGUAUUUAAGUUUAAACUGAUAACUCAGCCUUUUUCUUUCUAACUCCGAACGAUAACUACAGUCAGCAAGUAUUUCCAAAGGGCAGAUUAAGCGUAGGCGAAUAUGGAUAAUAUGAUGCAAAACUUUAGUUGGGCCAAUCUAUUUUUUUGGGUCAAUAGGAAAUCUAUCUUUUGGGGGUAUUAGAGUCCAAAUUAUUAAAUUGAAUUUUCCUGUAACCUAACUUUGGGACUCACUAAGAAAGUGAAGGGAUUAUUGGGAUUUAAUAAAAAAUUGGAACAUAAAUAGAAUUGAUAAAGAAUUGAAAAGAGAAAAGUAAAAAUAAUUUACUUGUAAUAAUCAAAAGGAAAUAGAAAACAAUGUCUUUGUUAUUGGAGCAUUAGCUAAAGGUUUUCAUCUUAUAACUCAUAAGUCCGAAUUGUAGAGAUUCUCUGUGUUUACAGUAAUUUAACAGUGGUUCGUAAAAAUAAAAAGAAGGGUUUCUGAGGAAAAAGAAAAAGAAAAAUUGUUAUUUACAGUUUGCUCCUUCCUUUUUAGCAUACAAAUCAUUAACAUCCUUAAUUUCAGCUAUUUCUUCUUCUUCUUCUUCUCACCUGAAACCUUGAUGACAAUUGAAGCUUGAGACCCAGCUUUGUCGAAUCCAUGUCUGGAAACAGCUUUUGCUUUUCUUUUUGGUCAUAAUUUACAGUAAGAACUACUUUUUUUCAAUCUGAAAUAGAAUGAACAUGCCAACACAAAAGCAUGGAGACACAACGUCCGAGGAUAUAAAACCGGGUUUUCUGCUGCUUUGCCAUCGACGAACACCGUUUCCUCAAACUGGGUUUCCGAGAUCGGCAACAAAGAUUCCUUUUGGAG
This 5900-nucleotide long non-coding RNA is filed under the name Gossypium barbadense (sea-island cotton). RNAcentral describes it as "long non-coding RNA (GBAR_LNC005840)". The record is from RNAcentral. Lineage: Eukaryota; Viridiplantae; Streptophyta; Magnoliopsida; Malvales; Malvaceae.